UAAGAUUUCUGUAACUACUUUCCAACCCACUUCCCCUUAUAUCAUUAGGUUUUUGAUGUCUGAAUUUAUAAGAAAAUUAAGGUCAGGAGAUAAGUGAACUUGUUGUAAAUCUCUAGCAGGCUAAGAAGGAUUUAAGAAACCUUUAAGGAAAAGUGCCAGGGAACAAGGGGAAGGACUAUAAAUAGCACCAGUUAGUCUGAAAAAACAUUGAUUCCAUAGCUCUGAAAUUUACUGUUGCACAGAUUAAACUGUUUAAUUUUGGUUGAGAGUAGAACACAAAAAUUUAUCCUGGGAACAGUCGUUCUCAUGAUGAAAAGGUCUGUGCAGGUUUUCGCAAGUGAUGGAAUAAACUGAGAGAAGAAGGGAGUAGGUAUCAAGAAAGAUGUUCCAACACAGUGAAGUCUGUUAGACUGCAGAAUAGCCUCAUAAGGAAACUGAUAGAAAUCCCAUUGCUCAACAUAUUUAAAAUUAGACCAGAUACAGCAGUUGUUAUGUAUCUUUCUCCCUUUGCAAUAAAAAAAAAAAUGAUUCAAAGAAAUCACCCUGGUACAGUUAUGGACAUAAAUAACAGUGUUUGCUCAUAAACGGCAUAAAAGGCUACUACUACAUUCUUACUAUGUACUGCGGUAUGGAGUGUGCUGAAUGUGUUGCAGGAGCAAAUCUUGAAGAGAGAUGGACUCCACACUUUGCAUAUGACACUGUCCUUGAACACAGGGUUUGAAUCCAGCUGAUGGGAAGAGACCAGCACUCCGAUCUGCUCUGUUUCCCCCAGGUGCUCUGAUAACAGAGCUAUUUUGUCAUAGUCAAGGUUUGAAACUUGGCCUGUAAAUUACUGUAAAGUGGUUCUUUGUUAAGGUUCUGCACCAGUGCCCAAACCUGAAGAAAGAUAAACAGAGCAGGAAUUAAAGCAACACCAUGAGCUGCUUCCCACAGCAGCGAGACUCUGAAGGUGAUGCAGAAUUCACAGCGCUGUGGAGAUGACAUCAGUCCUUUCACUGGCAAAGAAGAGAUUUCUUCCCUUGUCUUUUCAUUGCCUUAAUCUGGCUCCCAUCACCCAGCUCUGCUGCCUGUUUGCCAGAAAUCUGCCCAAAGAUGCUCGUUGUCAUGCUGUGCCAUGGACCAUUUUACACCUCUGUCCUGGUUUUGUUAAAAACAAGUUUCUCUUUUAGUGAAUUUGCCUGUCAGCUAAAGCUUCAUAUUAGCUGCAUUUUCCUGGAAAACCAGAUACAUGGAAUGCGAGCUUAUUGAAAAUGAAUUCAUGCACAUCUCAUGAGAGGGGCAACGAGAAACAGGUGACCAAGAAACCGACCAACAGAGUAUAACAUCCCAUUCACAUGAAUACUUCAUAUAAAAGUGGGAGAUCAUGAGGGCCUCGUCCCUUUUUUCCUUACGGCCGACAUUAAGAGAGGACCUUGCUAGGUGUCCCUGCGAACUGAGGCCAGUGACAGACUGAAUCCAGCUCCGGUUGGCUGCAGAGUCCAAUUCAGGACUUUGGGUGCCAGCUCUGCAGUUGCUGGGACUUUCAAGAUUGGUUUUGUAUAUUUUGUAUUAUUUCUUCUAUUCUUAUUAGUAGCAUUAGUAAAACAUCUUUAAUUUUUCCAACUCUCUUCUCUCUGUCCUUCUUUCCCUCGUGAUCACCUGUCCUUAGUGGGAAGUGGGUAAAGUGGGGAGCUGAAGGGGGAAGCGGGGGGAGAGCUGGUUAACAAUACAUCUGCCACAGUUUUAUUGUCACCCCGCAAUCCCCCUCAGUAACCUCAAAGUCUCUCUUCUCCUUUUCUGACUGACCUUCACUUCGCCCUAUCCAACAGAAUGAAUAUUGUAGCAUCUACCGGCUGUAUUUACAGUGUCACGAAAGAUAUCUUGCUGAGAGACAUAUGUUCUCUGGUAUGCUUCUGUUUAGGGUAAUGGGAAUCCAUUGUGCAAGAAUAUAUCCCCCUUUUUUAUCCUGUGCCCUUGUCUUCCCUUUGUGUCUCGCAGUGUUUUCAUUAAGCUGUAAUUUAGAAGCUCUCUAAGACAGGAAUAUAUCUGUCUUUGGUCCCAUAAAGUACUUUAUAACGUGUUAUAAAGAGACACAAAUUUUGCAAAUCAAUCUGCUGGCAUUUCACCAAUACACUGGAGGUAAGUUAACAGUGAGCUCAGAAAAUGCAGAGCUCUGUGAAAUCUAGCUUGUUUUAUUGAGAUUUUUUAAUAUGUCUUAAAGCCAGUGCAUUCAGUUCAUGCCCAUUUGAAAGACUUUCUAGGGCAGAGAUGGAUAGACUUUGAAAACAUAUGAUUAUGUCUUCCUUUCCUAUUAAUGCCACCAAUGACAUCGUAUUAUUCUCAACAGCAACUAUGAUUAGGCUUAUAAAUCCCACACUGA
This is a long non-coding RNA of Columba livia (rock pigeon), 2359 nucleotides long. RefSeq lists it as uncharacterized. The record is from RefSeq and is a predicted model, not a curated record. The transcript has 4 exons. Lineage: Eukaryota; Metazoa; Chordata; Aves; Columbiformes; Columbidae.